RNAcentral lists this non-coding RNA (25 nucleotides) under Drosophila melanogaster (fruit fly). RNAcentral also lists the same sequence under 4 other names. Lineage: Eukaryota; Metazoa; Arthropoda; Insecta; Diptera; Drosophilidae. The record is from RNAcentral.
GUAAUGGUUAGCACUCUGGACUUUG